AAGCGACUAAGCGUACACGGUGGAUGCCCUGGCAGUCAGAGGCGAUGAAGGACGUGCUAAUCUGCGAUAAGCGUCGGUAAGGUGAUAUGAACCGUUAUAACCGGCGAUUUCCGAAUGGGGAAACCCAGUGUGAUUCGUCACACUAUCAUUAACUGAAUCCAUAGGUUAAUGAGGCGAACCGGGGGAACUGAAACAUCUAAGUACCCCGAGGAAAAGAAAUCAACCGAGAUUCCCCCAGUAGCGGCGAGCGAACGGGGAGCAGCCCAGAGCCUGAAUCAGUGUGUGUGUUAGUGGAAGCGUCUGGAAAGGCGCGCGAUACAGGGUGACAGCCCCGUACACAAAAAUGCACAUACUGUGAGCUCGAUGAGUAGGGCGGGACACGUGGUAUCCUGUCUGAAUAUGGGGGGACCAUCCUCCAAGGCUAAAUACUCCUGACUGACCGAUAGUGAACCAGUACCGUGAGGGAAAGGCGAAAAGAACCCCGGCGAGGGGAGUGAAAAAGAACCUGAAACCGUGUACGUACAAGCAGUGGGAGCCUCUUUGUGGGGUGACUGCGUACCUUUUGUAUAAUGGGUCAGCGACUUAUAUUCUGUAGCAAGGUUAACCGAAUAGGGGAGCCGAAGGGAAACCGAGUCUUAACUGGGCGUUAAGUUGCAGGGUAUAGACCCGAAACCCGGUGAUCUAGCCAUGGGCAGGUUGAAGGUUGGGUAACACUAACUGGAGGACCGAACCGACUAAUGUUGAAAAAUUAGCGGAUGACUUGUGGCUGGGGGUGAAAGGCCAAUCAAACCGGGAGAUAGCUGGUUCUCCCCGAAAGCUAUUUAGGUAGCGCCUCGUGAAUUCAUCUCCGGGGGUAGAGCACUGUUUCGGCAAGGGGGUCAUCCCGACUUACCAACCCGAUGCAAACUGCGAAUACCGGAGAAUGUUAUCACGGGAGACACACGGCGGGUGCUAACGUCCGUCGUGAAGAGGGAAACAACCCAGACCGCCAGCUAAGGUCCCAAAGUCAUGGUUAAGUGGGAAACGAUGUGGGAAGGCCCAGACAGCCAGGAUGUUGGCUUAGAAGCAGCCAUCAUUUAAAGAAAGCGUAAUAGCUCACUGGUCGAGUCGGCCUGCGCGGAAGAUGUAACGGGGCUAAACCAUGCACCGAAGCUGCGGCAGCGACGCUUAUGCGUUGUUGGGUAGGGGAGCGUUCUGUAAGCCUGCGAAGGUGUACUGUGAGGUAUGCUGGAGGUAUCAGAAGUGCGAAUGCUGACAUAAGUAACGAUAAAGCGGGUGAAAAGCCCGCUCGCCGGAAGACCAAGGGUUCCUGUCCAACGUUAAUCGGGGCAGGGUGAGUCGACCCCUAAGGCGAGGCCGAAAGGCGUAGUCGAUGGGAAACAGGUUAAUAUUCCUGUACUUGGUGUUACUGCGAAGGGGGGACGGAGAAGGCUAUGUUGGCCGGGCGACGGUUGUCCCGGUUUAAGCGUGUAGGCUGGUUUUCCAGGCAAAUCCGGAAAAUCAAGGCUGAGGCGUGAUGACGAGGCACUACGGUGCUGAAGCGACAAAUGCCCUGCUUCCAGGAAAAGCCUC
This 1572-nucleotide ribosomal RNA is filed under the name Escherichia coli 2-156-04_S3_C2. RNAcentral's name for it is "bacterial LSU rRNA". It matches the Rfam family "Bacterial large subunit ribosomal RNA", at positions 1 to 1621 of the family's 2925-position model. The record is from RNAcentral. Lineage: Bacteria; Pseudomonadati; Pseudomonadota; Gammaproteobacteria; Enterobacterales; Enterobacteriaceae.